This 445-nucleotide ribosomal RNA is filed under the name uncultured bacterium. Its description in RNAcentral is "partial 16S ribosomal RNA". It matches the Rfam family "Bacterial small subunit ribosomal RNA", at positions 354 to 796 of the family's 1533-position model. The record is from RNAcentral.
GUAGGGAAUAUUGGGCAAUGGAGGCAACUCUGACCCAGCCAUGCCGCGUGCAGGAUGACGGCCCUCUGGGUUGUAAACUGCUUUUAUACGGGAAGAAAAAAUACUACGUGUAGUAUACUGACGGUACCGUAAGAAUAAGGAUCGGCUAACUCCGUGCCAGCAGCCGCGGUAAUACGGAGGAUCAAAGCGUUGUCCGGAUUUAUUGGGUUUAAAGGGUGCGUAGGCGGAUCUUUAAGUAGGUGGUGAAAGCCUGCAGCUUAACUGUAGAAUUGCCAUUGAAACUGAAGAUCUUGAAUGUGGUUAAAGUAGGCGGAAUGUAUCAUGUAGCGGUGAAAUGCUUAGAUAUGAUACAGAACACCGAUAGCGAAGGCAGCUUGCUGAACCAUUAUUGACGCUGAGGCACGAAAGCGUGGGGAGCGAACAGGAUUAGAAACCCUUGUAGUCC